UUGGGGGCAAGUCUGGUGCCAGCAGCCGCGGUAAUUCCAGCUCCAAUAGCGUAUAUUAAAGUUGUUGCAGUUAAAAAGCUCGUAGUUGAAUUUCGGGAUCAAUAUAUCGGUCGUGCUUCGGUAUGUACUGGUAUUAUUGAUUUCUCCCUUCUGACGAACUAUGAUGUCAUUAAUUUGGUGUUAUGGGGAAUCAGGACUGUUACUUUGAAAAAAUUAGAGUGUUUAAAGCAGGCACACGCUUGAAUACAUUAGCAUGGAAUAAUGAAAUAGGACGUUUGAUCUUAUUUUGUUGGUUUCUAGGAUCGACGUAAUGAUUAAUAGGGAUAGUUGGG
RNAcentral lists this unclassified non-coding RNA (332 nucleotides) under uncultured Glomeraceae. Its description in RNAcentral is "SSU rRNA". It matches the Rfam family "Eukaryotic small subunit ribosomal RNA", at positions 548 to 886 of the family's 1831-position model. Lineage: Eukaryota; Fungi; Glomeromycota; Glomeromycetes; Glomerales; Glomeraceae. The record is from RNAcentral.